AUCCAGUGACCUGUCCCAAAUAGGACGAAAUGCCCAUCCUGGAU
Molecule: non-coding RNA, 44 nt
Filed under: Trichobilharzia regenti
Lineage: Eukaryota; Metazoa; Platyhelminthes; Trematoda; Strigeidida; Schistosomatidae
Source: RNAcentral